This 277-nucleotide ribosomal RNA is filed under the name uncultured bacterium. Its description in RNAcentral is "partial 16S ribosomal RNA". It matches the Rfam family "Bacterial small subunit ribosomal RNA", at positions 28 to 304 of the family's 1533-position model. The record is from RNAcentral.
GAUAAACGCUGGCGGCGUGCCUUACGCAUGCAAGUCGAACGGGGUGCUUCGGCACUCAGUGGCGGACGGGUGAGUAACACGUACGUGACCUGCCCCUGAGUGGGGGAUACCCGCCCGAAAGGGUGGCUAAUACCGCAGGGGGUCGGUGGGGAGACCCACCGAGCAAAGGAGGGUGCGCAAGCGCCUUUCGCUCGGGGAGGGGCGUGCGGCCGAUUAGCUCGUUGGUGGGGUAAGGGCCUACCAAGGCUGUGAUCGGUAGCUGGGCUGAGAGGCUGAC